CUUGGGACCCAUGCUCUGCAAUUUCCAGAAACGGCCUCUUCUUGAGACUGUCAGGAGACAACUUGGCAUGAUAGAAGAUGGGCAUUUAAGAACUCAACCUGAAUUCAUACCACUGACUUAAAACUUGCUACCUGGGUGACCUUGGGAAAAUUUCUUGUCAACUCUGGCUAGAACUUGCAUGGCAGGAGACUUGCUCCGCGAGGGCUCUGUCUGCUCUUCUUGCUGCUGGCACAAAGUAUUUGGUGAAGGAAUGAAUGAAUGACCAAGUGAAUGGAGCAGAAGGAAGAGGCAAUGUCCCUUCUCAGUCAGUCUGGGGACAGAAAGUGUGGAAUCGCGGUUGGAAGUGGGAAGCACAGCAAGGAUCCAUGUCUCCAGCUUCGCCCGCCCAGGACAUCCACAUGGCACUGUUUUCUCGGUGGAAAAACCCUGGACCAGAGUCAAGACUGAGAAAUUCACCUCCUCUUCAAGCACAGUGCACAGAAUAUCCUGGAAAGCAUGGACUUUGGAUCAGACAAUCAUGAGUUCACAUUCUGGCUCUACGGUCUUCCAGCUAUGCCUCAGUUUCAUCAUCUAUCAAAUGGGGGCAAUUAGACCCGCUCCAUUGAGCCUUUCCCGCUUCAGCGAGGAGGGUGUGCACACAGUGAGCUCAGCUCAGAUGGCUCAAGGGCCUUUACAUCCUCCGUCUCUCAGUCUCCAGUUAGCAUGAAAGCACUGAGCAAUGGGAGAUUUGUCAUUUGUUUAUCCUUUCUCCCUGUAUAGAACUUCCUUUAAAUCUCUCAGAUGAAGCACAAGUCAAGAGCAUAGGAGCAAGUCAUUAAAGAGCAUUACAAGUUGAAUCAUGUCCUGCCCACAGAAGACACCUUGAGGUCCUACCCCUUGGUGACUUCACUGUGACCUUUUGUAGAAGUAGGGCAUGUGCAGAUGUAAUUGAGGUAAGUUGAUAGGCCCUCGUCCAGUGCGACCAAUGUCCUUAUAAGAAGGGGAGAUGGCCAGGGAAAACAGGUACACAGGGCGAACAGGGACACCAGGGCUGGAGACCACACCAAGGCAGCCAGAAGCCAGGGCUGGAUCGCCACAUCAAGCCUAGGAAGGGCCGAGGAAGGGGUCUUCCUGCAGGAGACAGAGGGAGCAGGCCCAGCUCCCAAACUGUGACACAGUGCAUUUCUGCUGUUUUAAGCCACCUCACUUGGGGUGCUUUGUCACAGCAAAGAGAAUGAGUACAAAGAGUAACUUUCAUCACAGGACUGUAUUAAUUUAAACCUUUAAUAAGGAGAUGGCCAGUCUCACUUGGUGGCCGACCUCAGCGUCCCUUAGACUACUGGGGAAGUUAGUGCUUCUGUCUCCUCCACCUUCCUUGCCUCUAGGGAGACAGAACUUUCUCAUCCUGGGAUUGUUCUCAGUGGUCUUUCUAGUUCUUUCUCCUCUGCCCCCUGCCCUGACUCCAGUCUUUAUGAGCUUGUGGCCCAGCUCCCGACCCUCAUGCUGUCACAGGUCUCUCUGCUCCCCUGCAGUUCCUUGGGCUCUCGCAUUUCUAGAGAAACAGAGGGAGAGAGAAAUGGGUUCUGUCCUCUCUCUCUCUCUCUUUUUUUUUUGGUACCAUGGAUGGAACUCAGGACCUUGCACUUUCAAGGCGGGUGGUGGAACCACUGAGCUACAUCCCUGGCCCGGUUCUGGCCUCUCUUGGCUCCGCCUCUUUUCUUCUGGAAUCCACAUUGGACAGUGUCUCAGCUAGAGGCAGAACUGAGUUUGUCCAGCUGCCUAAACUUGGUUGGAAUCAUUAGAGGUUCUCUUGUGGUGUUUAGAAUUCUCCACUUUCCAGUCCCAGGAGAGGAGGAGACGGGGGUAGGAACAGUUGCCAGUUCUGCCCCACCCCCUCACUCCCCACAUGGCUCCUGGCAGCACAGCCAUGCUGGCCAGCCCUGAGAGCCCCCGAAGGGAAAUUAUUACCAGUACAUCCUUUGCAGUGCAACAUCUGUAGUGCAGCCCAAAGAGAAGGGUCGAAAAGUGAGGUAUGGGGAAGACUGCCUAGUAAAGUUAUAAAGAAUGUGCACUGCACAAUUCCAGGGGGCCACUAGGCACACAGACCACAAUGGAAUGGCACUCCCUAGGGUUAUGUAAUGUAGGGGCUCUGGGCACAACAAGGCCUAUUGCAGUUACCGGGCCUUCCAGGAGCCAAACCUGACUUUCUUCAUCUGCCCUGUCCCCAGUUAGCUUGAAGGUGGCAGAGGAGAUGGGGCUCUUGUUGCAGUCCUGAAGAACCUGCCUGUUCUCAGAGUGGAGAGGAAAGCAGCCGGAAGCCCGGGCUCAGGCCAGAAGAGGCAGGUGCAGCAGGACACGGUCACCCAAAACAGGCUGGGCUCUGAGACAUCAGGAAUGGGGCCUGGGCCAGAUGUGCAUAAAGGGAGCUGUGCUUUGAGCUUGAUUUUUUGUGGGAUGGGGUUGUACCAUCUCACUCCCCUGCCUACAAACCUAUGGGCUGAGAAUCCUCACACCCACUUCACAGAUAAGGAAACUGAGGCCCAGAAAGGCCCAUCUCUCUGUCAAAGGCACACUGCUGGGGAAGAGCAUACUGGGCUGGGAGUCCCUCUCCCUGAUCCGCUCCUAGAAGACACUGGCUUCCUGGAUGUUCCCACAAACCCCAGUUCCAGGUGUGUUAAUAAAGGUGACAAUGUGCUACAGUCUCGGUCACAACUGAACAAAGACAAGAUGGAGCUGGAGUUUCUGGGAUAAGUACUGGGGGUGAGACCAGAGUGAGCUGUCACAGCGUCCUUUGUGACAGGGGCUACCCUCGGAGGUGGUAACCUCAGGAAGACCAGC
Molecule: long non-coding RNA, 2817 nt
Organism: Heterocephalus glaber (naked mole-rat)
Lineage: Eukaryota; Metazoa; Chordata; Mammalia; Rodentia; Bathyergidae
Source: RefSeq, a predicted model, not a curated record